AUACGUAGGUGACAAGCGUUAUCCGGAUUUACUGGGCGUAAAGGGCGUGUAGGCGGUCUUGCAAGUCAGAAGUGAAAUUCCUGAGCUCAACUCGGGCGCUGCUUCUGAAACUGCAGGACUUGAGUGCUGGAGGGGAUAGCGGAAUUCCUAGUGGAGCGGUAAAAUGCGCAGAUAUUAGGAAGAACACCGGUGGCGAAGGCGGCUAUCUUGACAGGAACUGACGCUGGGGGUCGAAAGCGGGGGGAGCAAACAGGAUUAAAUUCCCUGGUAGUCCCCGCCGUAAACGAUUAAUACUAGGUGUAGGGGGUAUCGACUCCCUCUGUGCCGCAGUUAACACAAUAAGUAUUCCGCCUGGGGAGUACGGCCGCAAGGUUGAAACUCAAAGGAAUUGACGGGG
This 397-nucleotide ribosomal RNA is filed under the name uncultured bacterium. RNAcentral describes it as "partial 16S ribosomal RNA". It matches the Rfam family "Bacterial small subunit ribosomal RNA", at positions 523 to 918 of the family's 1533-position model. The record is from RNAcentral.